AAAAAAAAAUGAAAAAAAAAUGAAAAAAAAA
This 31-nucleotide small RNA is filed under the name Arabidopsis thaliana (thale cress). Its description in RNAcentral is "ATSL026380". The record is from RNAcentral. Lineage: Eukaryota; Viridiplantae; Streptophyta; Magnoliopsida; Brassicales; Brassicaceae.